GACGAACGCUGGCGGCGUGCUUAACACAUGCAAGUCGAACGGGAUUUAGUAGACAGAAGCCUCGGCUAAAGAUUACUAAUGAGAGUGGCGAACGGGUGAGUAACGCGUGAGCAACCUGCCUAUGACGGUGGGAUAGCCUCGGGAAACCGGGAUUAAUACCGCAUAAAAUCGUAGAAACACAUGUUUUAACGGUCAAAGAUUUAUCGGUCAUAGAUGGGCUCGCGUCUGAUUAGCUAGUUGGUGAGAUAACAGCCCACCAAGGCGACGAUCAGUAGCCGGUCUGAGAGGAUGAACGGCCACAUUGGAACUGAGACACGGUCCAAACUCCUACGGGAGGCAGCAGUGGGGAAUAUUGCACAAUGGGGGAAACCCUGAUGCAGCGACGCCGCGUGAACGAAGAAGGUAUUCGUAUCGUAAAGUUCUGUCCUAUGGGAAGAUAAUGACAGUACCAUAGAAGAAAGCUCCGGCUAAAUACGUG
RNAcentral lists this ribosomal RNA (478 nucleotides) under uncultured bacterium. Its description in RNAcentral is "partial 16S ribosomal RNA". It matches the Rfam family "Bacterial small subunit ribosomal RNA", at positions 28 to 507 of the family's 1533-position model. The record is from RNAcentral.